RNAcentral lists this ribosomal RNA (290 nucleotides) under uncultured eukaryote. RNAcentral's name for it is "partial 18S ribosomal RNA". It matches the Rfam family "Eukaryotic small subunit ribosomal RNA", at positions 6 to 259 of the family's 1831-position model. The record is from RNAcentral.
GGUUGAUCCUGCCAGUAGCAUAUGCUUGUCUCAAAGAUUAAGCCAUGCAUGUCUAAGUAUAAACACCUUUUAUACCGCGAAACUGCGUACAGCUCAUUACAUCAGUUAUGAUUUCUUUGAAGAUUGGAUUUUUUUCAUACUACAUGGAUACCCGUAGUAAUUCUAGAGCUAAUACAUGCGUAAGGAACGGAUCUUCACUGAUUCGUUUGUAUUGAUUAGAUUUCUUAUUUGGAGGGCUUGCUCGAUUGUAUUGGUAACACAAUGCAAUUGUAUCAGGUGACUCAUAAUCA